CGACACACUAUCGUUAACUGAAUACAUAGGUUAACGAGGCGAACCGGGGGAACUGAAACAUCUAAGUACCCCGAGGAAAAGAAAUCAACCGAGAUUCCCCCAGUAGCGGCGAGCGAACGGGGAGCAGCCCGGAGUCUGAAUCAGCUUGUGUGUUAGUGGAACGGUCUGGAAAGUCCGACGGUACAGGGUGAUAGUCCCGUACACGAAAAUGCACUUGCUGUGAACUCGAAGAGUAGGGCGGGACACGUGGUAUCCUGUCUGAAUAUGGGGGGACCAUCCUCCAAGGCUAAAUACUCCUGACUGACCGAUAGUGAACCAGUACCGUGAGGGAAAGGCGAAAAGAACCCCGGCGAGGGGAGUGAAAAAGAACCUGAAACCGUGUACGUACAAGCAGUGGGAGCCUCUUUAUGGGGUGACUGCGUACCUUUUGUAUAAUGGGUCAGCGACUUAUAUUCUGUAGCAAGGUUAACCGUAUAGGGGAGCCGAAGGGAAACCGAGUCUUAACUGGGCGUUAAGUUGCAGGGUAUAGACCCGAAACCCGGUGAUCUAGCCAUGGGCAGGUUGAAGGUUGGGUAACACUAACUGGAGGACCGAACCGACUAAUGUUGAAAAAUUAGCGGAUGACCUGUGGCUGGGGGUGAAAGGCCAAUCAAACCGGGAGAUAGCUGGUUCUCCCCGAAAGCUAUUUAGGUAGCGCCUCGUGAACUCAUCUUCGGGGGUAGAGCACUGUUUCGGCUAGGGGGCCAUCCCGGCUUACCAACCCGAUGCAAACUACGAAUACCGAAGAAUGUUAUCACGGGAGACACACGGCGGGUGCUAACGUCCGUCGUGAAGAGGGAAACAACCCAGACCGCCAGCUAAGGUCCCAAAGUCAUGGUUAAGUGGGAAACGAUGUGGGAAGGCACAGACAGCCAGGAUGUUGGCUUAGAAGCAGCCAUCAUUUAAAGAAAGCGUAAUAGCUCACUGGUCGAGUCGGCCUGCGCGGAAGAUGUAACGGGGCUAAACCAUGCACCGAAGCUGCGGCAGCGACACUAUGUGUUGUUGGGUAGGGGAGCGUUCUGUAAGCCGUUGAAGGUGUGCUGUGAGGCAUGCUGGAGGUAUCAGAAGUGCGAAUGCUGACAUAAGUAACGAUAAAGCGGGUGAAAAGCCCGCUCGCCGGAAGACCAAGGGUUCCUGUCCAACGUUAAUCGGGGCAGGGUGAGUCGACCCCUAAGGCGAGGCCGAAAGGCGUAGUCGAUGGGAAACAGGUUAAUAUUCCUGUACUUGGUGUUACUGCGAAGGGGGGACGGAGAAGGCUAUGUCAGCCGGGCGACGGUUGUCCCGGUUUAAGCAUGUAGGCGGAGGUUCCAGGUAAAUCCGGUACCUUAUUAACGCUGAGGUGUGAUGACGAGGCACUACGGUGCUGAAGUGAUAAAUGCCCUGCUUCCAGGAAAAGCCUCUAAGCAUCAGGUAACACGAAAUCGUACCCCAAACCGACACAGGUGGUCAGGUAGAGAAUACCAAGGCGCUUGAGAGAACUCGGGUGAAGGAACUAGGCAAAAUGGUGCCGUAACUUCGGGAGAAGGCACGCUGAUAUAGGUNNNNNNNNNNNNNNNNNNNNNNNNNNNNNNNNNNNNNNNNNNNNNNNNNNNNNNNNNNNNNNNNNNNNNNNNNNNNNNNNNNNNNNNNNNNNGGACGGAGCUGAAAUCAGUCGAAGAUACCAGCUGGCUGCAACUGUUUAUUAAAAACACAGCACUGUGCAAACACGAAAGUGGACGUAUACGGUGUGACGCCUGCCCGGUGCCGGAAGGUUAAUUGAUGGGGUUAGCGGCAACGCGAAGCUCUUGAUCGAAGCCCCGGUAAACGGCGGCCGUAACUAUAACGGUCCUAAGGUAGCGAAAUUCCUUGUCGGGUAAGUUCCGACCUGCACGAAUGGCGUAAUGAUGGCCAGGCUGUCUCCACCCGAGACUCAGUGAAAUUGAACUCGCUGUGAAGAUGCAGUGUACCCGCGGCAAGACGGAAAGACCCCGUGAACCUUUACUAUAGCUUGACACUGAACACUGGUCCUUGAUGUGUAGGAUAGGUGGGAGGCUUUGAAGCGUGGACGCCAGUCUGCGUGGAGCCAUCCUUGAAAUACCACCCUUUAAUGGCUGGUGUUCUAACGUAGACCCGUGAUCCGGGUUGCGGACAGUGUCUGGUGGGUAGUUUGACUGGGGCGGUCUCCUCCCAAAGAGUAACGGAGGAGCACGAAGGUUGGCUAAUCCUGGUCGGACAUCAGGAGGUUAGUGCAAUGGCAUAAGCCAGCUUGACUGCGAGCGUGACGGCGCGAGCAGGUGCGAAAGCAGGUCAUAGUGAUCCGGUGGUUCUGAAUGGAAGGGCCAUCGCUCAACGGAUAAAAGGUACUCCGGGGAUAACAGGCUGAUACCGCCCAAGAGUUCAUAUCGACGGCGGUGUUUGGCACCUCGAUGUCGGCUCAUCACAUCCUGGGGCUGAAGUAGGUCCCAAGGGUAUGGCUGUUCGCCAUUUAAAGUGGUACGCGAGCUGGGUUUAGAACGUCGUGAGACAGUUCGGUCCCUAUCUGCCGUGGGCGCUGGAGAAUUGAGGGGGGCUGCUCCUAGUACGAGAGGACCGGAGUGGACGCAUCACUGGUGUUCGGGUUGUCAUGCCAAUGGCACUGCCCGGUAGCUAAAUGCGGAAGAGAUAAGUGCUGAAAGCAUCUAAGCACGAAACUUGCCCCGAGAUGAGUUCUCCCUGAGACUUUAAGUCUCCUGAAGGAACGUUGAAGACGACGACGUUGAUAGGUCGGGUGUGUAAGCGCAGCGAUGCGUUGAGCUAACCGAUACUAAUGAACCGUGAGGCUUAACCUUACAACGCCGAAGGUGUUU
This 2864-nucleotide ribosomal RNA is filed under the name Enterobacter hormaechei. RNAcentral's name for it is "partial 23S ribosomal RNA". It matches the Rfam family "Bacterial large subunit ribosomal RNA". The record is from RNAcentral. Lineage: Bacteria; Pseudomonadati; Pseudomonadota; Gammaproteobacteria; Enterobacterales; Enterobacteriaceae.